CCUACGGGUGGCAGCAGUGGGGAAUAUUGGGCAAUGGGCGCAAGCCUGACCCAGCAACGCCGCGUGAAGGAAGAAGGCCCUCGGGUUGUAAACUUCUUUUGUCAGGGACGAAGCAAGUGACGGUACCUGACGAAUAUGCCACGGCUAACUACGUGCCAGUAGCCGCGGUAAUACGUAGGUGGCAAGCGUUAUCCGGAUUUAUUGGGUGUAAAGGGGGUGUAGGCGGGAAUGCAAGUCAGUUGUGAAAACUAUGGGCUCAACCCAUAGCCUGCAUUUGAAACUGUCAUUCUUGAGUGCUGGAGAGGCGAUCGGAAUUCCGUGUGUAGCGGUGAAAUGCGUAGAUAUACGGAAGAACACCAGUGGCGAAGGCGGAUUGCUGGACAGUAACUGACGCUGAGGCGCGAAAGCGUGGGGAGCAAACAGGAUUAGAUACCCCAGUAGUC
This 443-nucleotide ribosomal RNA is filed under the name uncultured bacterium. RNAcentral's name for it is "partial 16S ribosomal RNA". It matches the Rfam family "Bacterial small subunit ribosomal RNA", at positions 338 to 795 of the family's 1533-position model. The record is from RNAcentral.